RNAcentral lists this transfer RNA (65 nucleotides) under Bacillus cereus. RNAcentral's name for it is "tRNA-Glu". It matches the Rfam family "tRNA". Rfam says of the family: Transfer RNA (tRNA) molecules are approximately 80 nucleotides in length. Their secondary structure includes four short double-helical elements and three loops (D, anti-codon, and T loops). Lineage: Bacteria; Bacillati; Bacillota; Bacilli; Caryophanales; Bacillaceae. The record is from RNAcentral. RNAcentral also lists the same sequence under 1 other name.
UGGUCAAGUGGUUAAGACACCGCCCUUUCACGGCGGUAACACGGGUUCGAAUCCCGUACGGGUCA